This 492-nucleotide ribosomal RNA is filed under the name uncultured bacterium. RNAcentral describes it as "partial 16S ribosomal RNA". It matches the Rfam family "Bacterial small subunit ribosomal RNA", at positions 29 to 507 of the family's 1533-position model. The record is from RNAcentral.
AGUGAACGCUGGCGGUAGGCCUAACACAUGCAAGUCGAACGGCAGCACAGUAAGAGCUUGCUCUUACGGGUGGCGAGUGGCGGACGGGUGAGGAAUACAUCGGAAUCUACUUUUUCGUGGGGGAUAACGUAGGGAAACUUACGCUAAUACCGCAUACGACCUACGGGUGAAAGCAGGGGAUCUUCGGACCUUGCGCGAUUGAAUGAGCCGAUGUCGGAUUAGCUAGUUGGCGGGGUAAAGGCCCACCAAGGCGACGAUCCGUAGCUGGUCUGAGAGGAUGAUCAGCGACACUGGAACUGAGACACGGUCAGGGCUCCUACGGGAGGCAGCAGUGGGGAAUAUUGGACAAUGAGCGCAAGCCUGAUCCAGCCAUACCGCGUGAGUGAAAGAGGCCUUCGGGUUGUAAAGCCCUUUUGUUGGGAAAGAAAAGCAGCAGGUUAAUACACCGAUGUUCUGACGGUACCCAAAGAAUAAGCACCGGCUAACUUCGUG